UUCCAGACGCGCCUCACCACAGAGACGAGGUGCUGUGUGUUCACAGACGGGCCGUGAAGGCAGACGGCGGAUGCAGGGAAGAUGGUGACAAGCGAGACGGGCAGUAAUGGAAGAGACGGGAACACAGCCUCCUUCUCUCUGCUGGGAAGGCUUUGGAAGGUACUUCAUG
Long non-coding RNA from Suricata suricatta (meerkat), 169 nucleotides. RefSeq lists it as uncharacterized. The record is from RefSeq and is a predicted model, not a curated record. NCBI's taxonomy places the organism in Eukaryota, Metazoa, Chordata, Mammalia, Carnivora, Herpestidae. The transcript has 3 exons.